RNAcentral lists this long non-coding RNA (4453 nucleotides) under Hordeum vulgare. RNAcentral describes it as "long non-coding RNA (HVUL_LNC015014)". The record is from RNAcentral. Lineage: Eukaryota; Viridiplantae; Streptophyta; Magnoliopsida; Poales; Poaceae.
UUGUAAAUAAAAUGUAUAUUUCAUUUCAGUAGCAUAUCACAUCAAAUACAAUACAUCAUCCAACGACUCCACGCAUUAAAGUUCAACGCCUAAAAAAGGCACAUCAAAAUAAUUUUACAUGUGCACAACAGAAUACUUCUACAAGUGCAAGGGCACAGAAAAAGGACCCAACAAGUGCACAAUCACACAUAAAGAGAGUUCCACAAAGAUAGGAUAAGAACCACAAGUUUCUCCUCAUCGUCUUCCUCUGCUCAAUAUGCUCUUGCCAUUGUCGCCUGCAAGAAGAAGAUGAUGCAACUCCUAGUUAAACCUAGAAAGUAAAAAUAUUCCAACCGUCCAACUAAUAUGUAACUGUUCUAUAGCCAUAGGAUGAAGCAGGAGACGUCUACCCCAUUAGUCUUUCCUUCUACGCUUGUGAAAAGAAAAAAGAAUCUACAGGAGACUACUAGAUCGUAGAUCGCUGCGACGCGCAGCGCCCAUCUAUUUUGGCUCUUGUAAUUAUUAGGUAUAUGAAACAAAAAAAUCCUGUGUUUGUGAUCUUAUAAUUGUUAGGAAUAUGAAUCUAAUUUAUAUAUUCUUGUUUUCAGUGUUUUGAACAUAUGAGCUAGUUUCUACAUUCUUGCUGGCUUCACACUUCUCCAUGCACAAAAAGUAACAAGUGUUCAUUAAUUAAUAUUUCAAGAGAAGCAGAAUUGCAUUGAAAGAAGAAAUAUACAAUGGAUAGGUAGGACAUUUGGAAGAAGAUACAUGAUAAAAGUAGAGGUCUUAUAAUUAUCAUCCGGUCAUUGCUUAGCAGAUUAAAAUUGUAUAGAUAAAUCCACAACUAUACCACAACUUUAAUGGUCUUGUGAAGCUAUCGAGCGAGUGAGAAAGUCUAUUACGUAAUUUGUAUACAGAUGCACUGAGAGAAAUGAACAGAUUUUAUAAGAAUCUAACCAGUAGCUAGACUGCGUAUGAAUUGUUGUGACCUCAAUAAGUACACAUGCUCCAAAGUGAAGGAGUGCACCUCUACAUUCAUAAUCUAUUCUUAACACGCUAUGAAUGUAACUCUGCAGGAAGAACACGAGUUCCCCACAAACAUGUGUGAAUGCACAUGUAGGUUUUAUGGAAAUCAAUAGACCAUUAACAGAAUGAGAUAAGCUCAUAGUCAUCUAUUCAAGAUUACUUUCGAAAAAUUACUUAUAUUGCCCGGACAUCUGCCGGUGGAUCACGGUAAAAAUAUACGACUUAUAAUCAUCGCGUGGGGAUGUUGAGUACAUUAAAAUGGUACACAUAACUGAAAACUAUACCACAAAUGCAAUGUGCUUGUGUUACUGCGAUAUAAAAGAAGCUAUCAAGAGAAUGACAAAAUCUAUGAUGCCAUUUGCAUACAGAAUUACACAUGCACUGAGAGAAAUACACGGCUAUGUUUGUGGCUCACUUUAUCUCCAAGGCUUAGCCAUUGUGGACAAAGAAAAAAGGAAUUAGGAUAGACCAAUUUGUAAGCCCGGCCCAGUGCCCAUACUUUCUUAACUGGUAAAUGUUGGCAUGACCAUCAAUAUGGUCUCACAGGAAAAAGCAUAAUAGUUCAGCUAUAUAUAGUGCCCAUACUUUCUUAACUGGUAAAUGUUCUUUUUUCCUCAUCUAGCAAGUACUCCUAACAAAUGUGAGCACAGAUCAUAGCCUGAUCAUGCAGUUACUGAAUAGCUAAUAAUCCAGAACAGGUAUCCAAAAGAAAAAUACAUGGCAUACUGUAUGUAAUCAAUGUGCAUUCAUACAAACCUGCUGGCCAAAUUCUACUUUGCCUAUUGCCUGGACCAUUGCAGCUAGCUAGUAGCCAUCAGAGUAUACAUUUCCGUUGUUAUCACUAUAGUGAAAAUGGGACAGAACAAAGAGAAGUGCAAAUGAUUAUAAUUAUUAUUACAUCAACAUGUAGGCAUAGGGCUAUAUGUUAUAAAUUGAUAAAAUGCAAACCUUUAGAAGCUGAAGAAUAAAUUCAACAGCUUGUCUCGGGCUGCUCUUAUCUGAUGAUCUAACAAGAGCUACUGCAUGAGGAAUUUCCUAACCGAAGAAGCACAAAGAAAAAAAGUCAGUGCAACAACAAUGGCUUGAGACAGCAUGACCAUGAUCAUUGAUUUACUAACUUAAUCAACAUCCAUCCAAUUCAAAUGACAUCAACAACAUUCGUAUGGAUAAAGCAAUGAGAUUAGAAAUCCCCCCACCAGCCUUUUUUCUAUUUUAUAUUUUUCGUUGAAAUUUCAUGAUCCAGAAGUCCUUCGAACACUCAUUGAGUUUUUUCUGUAGUAAAAUACAAGUAACAAUAUUGACAGUUAAGCUUGCUAUUCUGUUUAAUAAUGACACAAGAGGAAGUGUAUCUUGCUAUUAUGUUUAUUCUCAUGUAUGACUGUAAGCCCAACUCCUCUAAUAUUGUCAAAAAAAAUAUUGAAACUGCAUUUAACAAACUACAGAUGAAUAUAUAAGAAAUCUUGGUAAUGAUGCUAUACAAUGGAUUGUGUUGCUACGGUUAAUCACAAAUACAGUUCCUACCUCAGAGCAUUACCUCAAGAACAAAGUAUUCUGGAAUAUCAUGGAAGUCGUUUGGCCUAGUAGUAAAACAAAAUAAUGUUUAUUACACAUUUAAAACACAAAACAAACAUAGCCAUGGAUACAUGAUAGUUUAUAAUUAAAACAACAGAAUUACAUAUGCACUGACAAUUUUUUUUGUUGAUGUAACCGAUGACGUCAAGAAGACGAGCACAUGUGUUAUGCGAGGAACAUCGAAUUUAACUAUGCAAAUAUAGGUACAUCUAACAUUUGUUCCUGAUAUAAAAAUCUCAUGUCUGCCAAUGCAGUCCAAGCAGAUGGUAAACUUAGUUCGGAGCAGAAAUAUGUCUGAGGAUUUUAAUCUUUGCAUAAGUAGAAGAAUGCUUGCUACAACUUCCUAUGUUCGGAGCAGAAAUUUCAUGCCUACCAAUGCAAGUUCUUGUUCAGUCACCGGUUAUAGCAUCUUGCAAAUUCAGUUCUAGCAGUAUUAAAAUGUUGACCGCUGCUUUUCUCUGUUAGAGCUAGCUGCUAGCUCUGACCAGGAUUCUUUUUUUGAAGGAUGUGAUGCACACACACACACCGUCCUUCCUUCCUUUCCUGUUUUUUCACUCACACAAACACAAGAGCUAGUAGUAUGAAUCUUUAUUGACUCAUCUCAAAUGCUACAGCAAGCUUACUUUCUUAUAGCAGGCUUAUGCCUUAUAAGCUAAGAAAAUCUAAACCGACCUAUACUACUAUAUAUGCUACAAGACACAAGGAUUAUCAUGACAGCCGUAACAUGCACGGCACAUUAAGUGGUGAUGAUAAUUUACUAUUUUUUGCUGCUGUGUGCAGUGCCUCGUCAUUGCAUGGAUAGACAAGGGGAAGGAAAAGAAGAAGAUGAGUUUGCAAUAGCUAGAGCGGCCAGAUCGGGCCAUGGGGGAGAGGGGAAGCUGACCUUAUGUUCAGGCGAUGGGUGCUGGCCAGCUCCUCCACCUCCUCUGGCCGCUCUAGCUAUUGCACCUACAAAGACAAGAUGAGACACGGGUCAGAGAGAGAAAGAACAAAUGAGAGGAGAGGGGAGAGCCAGUGGUGGCUUACCUGCUACACAUACGCAAAGAAGGGGAGGUACACGAGCCGCAUCAUCUCCUCCAACACCGCAUGGAUCCAAUGGAUAUGCCUGCAGCACGAACAUGAAAAGAGGAACAUGGCGUGAGGAGAACGAAAUGAAUCCUAGGGAGAGGAGGGAUGGGAGUGAGGAGGCACCUUGAUCCGUGGAGAGGAAAAUAAGCACACGCUCCAUCACAGAUCCGUGGAGAGGAGACGUCCGUCGCCGGCAUCCAUCGCCGGCCCACCGGGCCCUCCGACCGCAAACUGCUCUCAUAGGAGCUCCUUGACGAACAACUCCAUGGCGUGGGUCUCCUCCCUCCAUGUUAUGGGUCUCUAGAUGCAGAUCCUGUCCCGUCACGGAUCUAGCCGCCGCCAUGGCCUGCCUUCUGGAUCCGCGUCUCCUCGCCUCUGUUGAUGACCGUAUGCAAACCACACCAUCGAGGUAGGUCUGCCGCCACCCCGUUUGGGUGCGCGCCAGGACGGAUGCCUCACCGGCGUCGAGGUGGCAUUAGAAGGCGCCGAAGUGGGGACGAUGGUGGCUGGAACAUGUGGAUUGGGAUUGGACGGGGUGAUUGGGAGAGAUGGAGGCGGCUGCAGUAACUUGCUAGGGUUUCGGCAUAGAGGCACCCGGGUGUGGGCUUGUGGAAUUAUGGGCUGGCACUAAAAAUUUGGUCUCCCCGCGUAUGUUACACAAAAUUUUCCUUCUCCGCGCAUUGCAUCAGCUAGUUUUGGACUUUAUUUUUUUGCCCGUUGGUGGCUGCCAGUGGGCCCUAUUUCAGCUUCCUAUGAGAGCAGUUCGUUGUGAUUGAAAUUAUGAAACGUUCACAUAUUUUGACUAAUA